Molecule: long non-coding RNA, 1673 nt
Filed under: Anas platyrhynchos platyrhynchos (common mallard)
Lineage: Eukaryota; Metazoa; Chordata; Aves; Anseriformes; Anatidae
Description: lncRNA (ENSAPLG00000018053.1)
Source: RNAcentral
GAUUCGCAAAGAUCAGCUUCAAGAAUGACAGGACUGGAGCCAUUAGCAAGCUCAUCCAGCAGUGAUCAUCCAUCAGAGGUGAGUGUCUCCAUAUCCUGAUGCAGAGGAGUGUGAGGAGCAGCACCACAUUCCUGCCUGCAGAAGCUCCAAGAGGCUUGGGACACGUGCAGAUAAUCUCCUGAAUUCCCUCAUUUUCCUGCUGCAGACUGUCAGCCCAGGGGUGUGUUUGCUCAGCAAUGGAUGAAGCUGGCAGUGACUCCACCAGGCUGAGUAGUUGCAACACUCAGUGGGAGACCAUCUUCUCCUCAACCAGUGCUAGGUGAGAAGCAGUUCGACCUGGUUUGUAAUUUGGAAUAUCUCUCAUGUGGUCAUUGAGAUGAAGAGUUGAUGGACAGUCUCCAGGGAACUGCAACACCAAUUUGGAUUUGGUAUUUCCUACCGAGAGCACAGGCAGUGCCAACACCGCAGAAGAGAACGAGGAGUAAGGGCUCCAGCUGCUCCUCCACUGCUCGUCAGCUUCUGCAGGUCUCACCUCCGUGAGGCAGCCUGGUGGUACCGGUCAGUGUUCAAACUGGUCAAAAUGUGGUGAGAAACAGACAAUUUCAUUCCCCUCGCUCAAAGCUGGGAUAGCCUCCAGAUUAAAUUCCACCUCCUGGUAACUCCUACUGGAUGUAUCUUCUACCAAAGGCCUGUGGAAAGGACCUGAACCAGAGGAGGUUUGGCCCUUCGCAUCUGUGGUGCAGAAUCCAGCGGUGCAUUAUUCUGAUUAGAAGGUCUAAAACAGUGAAUAGAGCAUAUAAAACUGUCUACUGUGUUUCAUCAUACAUAAUUCGCUGCAGCAACCUACAGCCAUCCAAGCUGCUUCAGCCUCCCUCUCACAACCCACUGGUGCCCUGAGAGAUGCUGUCCCAGCAGAGGGGUCCCUGCGUCACCAGCACCUCAGCACUGACAGAGCGGUGUGAUGCCUUCAGAGCAUUCAGCAGGUCCCUCACCUUUUACUGGGCAUCUGAAACUGCCGUGGGGAGAGGCAGGAGGCACCCCGGGGCCUGGCUGUCCCCACAGAGAGUGCGUGACCACCUCUGGGGAAAGAACUUCGGGAGCGCCCAGGCUGCGCAGCAGAGUCUGAUCUUUAGCUGACUGUCCAUGAGCAUUACACCAACUGGGGGAUACUAUGUAUUGGUAGUGAGUUUAUGGAGCUACUACACCCUGAGAACUAGAUAGUCUUGCAAAUUAACUUUUCUCAUUCAUAGUAGUGGCCAGAAUAAUGCACUCCUGUGCAUUAUCUGCAUUAUCUGGCAGAUAAUGCAGAGUGAGAAUGAAUGAAAGCGGCAUGUUUAAGGGUAUCUGGAAAUUUAGUUAAUCUGUACUCAGAAGCAAUGGAGGAAAGAUGUUUUAUGUUCCAUAACGGUUCCAUAACAUACAUUUGUUUGUGUGCCACUGAUCUUCAGCACCAAAGAUGACAAAAGUGGUGGCACUAGAAUAAGAGGUUUUCCUUGUAAGUCAGAUUUUCAUAGAGCUCUUUCUUGUAAGGUCACAACACAGCAGUACGCAAGCAGCAUUUUUAGGUUGUAUUUCAUAAAUGCAGUCUACGUUUACACAGAGCAAAGAAAUGGAUAUGUGAAGUUUGUGGUGAAAAAAAUAAAAAUAAAAAUAAAGAAGGAAAAAAAAUAAAA